This 271-nucleotide ribosomal RNA is filed under the name uncultured bacterium. RNAcentral's name for it is "partial 16S ribosomal RNA". It matches the Rfam family "Bacterial small subunit ribosomal RNA", at positions 524 to 794 of the family's 1533-position model. The record is from RNAcentral.
UACGUGGGGUGCAAGCGUUGUUCGGAAUUACUGGGCGUAUAGCGUGUGAAGGCGGCUCGCUAAGUCUGAUGUGAAAUCCCUGGGCUUAACCCAGGAACUGCAUCGGAAACUGGUGGGCUAGAGUUCGGGAGAGGGUCGUGGAAUUCCUGGUGUAGAGGUGAAAUUCGUAGAUAUCAGGAGGAACACCGGUGGCGAAGGCGGCGACCUGGACCGACACUGACGCUAAAACACGAAAGCGUGGGGAGCAAACAGGAUUAGAAACCCGAGUAGU